Molecule: ribosomal RNA, 557 nt
Filed under: uncultured bacterium
Lineage: Bacteria
Description: bacterial SSU rRNA
Rfam family: Bacterial small subunit ribosomal RNA
Source: RNAcentral
GCGCGCUUAACACAUGCAAGUCGCACGAGAAAGGGAGCAAUCCCAAGUAAAGUGGCGCACGGGUGAGUAACACGUGGAUCAUCUACCUUCUGGUGGGGAAUACCCCCGGGAAACUGGGGACAAUUCCGCAUAAGUCCGAGAGGAGAAAGCAGCAAUGCGCCGGAAGAGGAGUCCGCGGCUGAUUAGCUUGUUGGCGGGGUAACAGCCCACCAAGGCGAAGAUCGGUAGCCGGCCUGAGAGGGCACACGGCCACACUGGCACUGAAACACGGGCCAGACUCCUACGGGAGGCAGCAGUGGGGAAUCUUGCACAAUGGGGGAAACCCUGAUGCAGCGACGCCGCGUGAGCGAUGAAGCCCUUCGGGGUGUAAAGCUCUUUCGACGGGAACGAUGAUGACGGUACCCGAAGAAGAAGCUGCGGCUAACUACGUGCCAGCAGCCGCGGUAAUACGUAGGCAGCAAGCGUUGUUCGGAAUUACUGGGCGUAAAGAGUGUGUAGGCGGUGCUCUAAGUUCGGUGUGAAAUCUCCCGGCUCAACUGGGAGGGUGCGCCGGAAAC